Molecule: ribosomal RNA, 582 nt
Filed under: uncultured bacterium
Lineage: Bacteria
Description: bacterial SSU rRNA
Rfam family: Bacterial small subunit ribosomal RNA
Source: RNAcentral
ACGGCGUAGUAAUGCAUCGGAACGUACCCUCUGGUCGGGGAUAGCUACGGGAAACUGUAGGUAAUACCCGAUGAUCUCUGCGGAGCAAAGGUGAGAUUCCGCCGGAGGAGCGGCUGAUGUGAUAUUAGCUAGUUGGUGGGGUAAUGGCCUACCAAGGCGAUGAUGUCUAGGGGGUGUGAGAGCAUGGCCCCCACGACCGGAACUGAGAUACUGUCCGGACACCUACGGGUGGCUGCAGUCGAGAAUCUUCCGCAAUGGACGAAAGUCUGACGGAGCGACGCCGCGUGCGGGACGAAGGCCCUUGGGUUGUAAACCGCUGUCAGAGGGGAUGAAAUCUUCGGAGGUACUCCUCCGAAGUUGACAGAGCCUCAAAGGAAGCACGGGCUAAGUACGUGCCAGCAGCCGCGGUAACACGUACUGUGCGAACGUUAUUCGGAAUCACUGGGCUUAAAGGGUGCGUAGGCGGCGAAUCAAGUCAGGUGUGAAAGGCCUGAGCUCAACUGAGGCAUUGCGCUUGAAACUGAUUUGCUUGAGUAUCCCAGGGGUGUGCGGAACUGCCAGUGGAGCGGUGAAAUGUGUUGA